UCAAAGGCUGCCUUUCCAAAAUUUUGGUCGUUGACCACAAGAUGGGCAGCCGUUUGGAUUGCAGCCGAAUCUCUCGAUGGCUGCCAAUUUUUUGACCAGCCGUUGUGAUUUUGUACUAGUAUAUGGGUGAGUUCUUGGCGGCGAUUUCCUUCGCCAAAAAUUUAGCAGGCCAUCGUUUUGGCAGGGCUGGUUUGGGUUCAAUCCAAACAGCCCCUAGGUCUUCUUCCCCCUCUGCCUUCUCACCCAAAAACGAGCCGCCGCCGGUCCCUUCUCCUCCGAUCCACUUCUUUCCAAAGUCGCCCUUGCCACCGAUGCCAGCAUGGAGCAAGGAGAUGCCGGCGGAGCUGGUGCAGGUUGCGUCCGUGCUGUCCGUGCCCCUCAUCUCGGUAGCCCCUUCCCCUUGUCUUCCAAGUGUGCCACCACCCCUCCCUGCUGUGAGUUAGUGACCGGAGAGGAAGAACCAGAUCCAAGCCGACGAGCACUGGGGCGAGGUCCCCGUGAGCAGGAUCCGUCGCCUCCCACCACGCAAGGAGCCAUGGUGUCCGGGUCACCGUUCCUUCUCCCCUUCUCGAAUCAAGGAUCCACGCCGACGAUCCCCUUGAUGCCCAAGCAGGUCUGCCCUACCACCUAGUCCACCACCAUGCCUCCGCCGCUAACAAGGUCCAUAUCCCCUUAUCUUACUGGUUCAUAGAUCCUCUAGAUGCUAUUUUGUGUAUAUUUGAUUUGUCAUUGUUGGUUGUAUUAGAACAUUAGUCUGUAACAUGAGUCAUUGAUGCAACCUUUAAAUAUCUGAAGGUACAUGUUUGUGUGAUUGUCAGAUUCGGUUUGUUCCCUUGCUUGCCAACCAUCUGUAUUACUAUACGCAUGUUGUUGCUCUCAAAAUCUACAGUCAGUUUCAAUCCAAAGGCUCUCUUUCAUCUGCCUUAAUUAUGUUAUUAAUCAAAAACAAAAACUGUAAUGAUGCCGGAAGAAUGGCGGUCCUCCGGCUGCUUGGGCCGGCCAGCUUAGCUGUCAGCGUGCUUGUGAAACUGAAACGCACGGCACCGGCCAGCUUAGCUGUCAGCGUGCGUGUGAAACUGAAACGCACGGCGGCGCCACAGCCGGAGGCCGGGAGCUUGCCCGCCUUAUAAAUGGCCUGCCUUGUAAAUGGCCUGCAUGACCGGAGCAUAAGUUCCUCAAGGAGACCAUCAUUUUUUGAGAAAUUGUGAGUUCUUGUAGCCCUAUGAUUGUUAUCUGGAGUUACCAUGUCUCGAUGCAUGAAUUACUUGGCCAAUGCAUGAGUUACUUAGCAUUGAUCUAACAAAUGUUGUAGUCUGGUGAUGGUGUCCUGUUUCAGUAGCCGCGUAAAGCCUUGUUUCUAGGUUUGCAAGAUCUGGACAUACGACGAUGCUGGCGCCCUGCGUGCUGAUUUCACCUGCAGGCUACAUGGACAACCAAACCGGUCUGCGUGGGGAGCUUACGACCGCCGUCACGCGUCUCUAAUCCAUGGUGGUGUUUUUGUGAUUUAAUGAGAGAAUCGAGUGGAACUAAGGAGAUCCAUUGGAUUAGCAUGGACGGUUGAUAUUAUAGGCUACUGCACCCAUACAAUAAACUGUAGAGGAGACGAACCCGCCCUCAUAGACUCCGUUUGUUCGGCAAUAUACAUUCAUGUGUCAAAAUGAUAUUUUUGGUAGAUAACAUGUUAGAAAUUGGGUGGUUUAUUAUUCUAACUGCACUGAAAUUAUACAUGGUGAUGUAUUGUAACUUCCCUUCUUUCUCUUUGGAAUUACUAAGAUGGAAACGGUUUGAUCCUUUAUUUUAGUUUAUUUUACUAUACUUAUGUUGAUAAUAUCAUGUUUCACUUAAUUUUUCCCUUGCCAUUGGCAGCAUCAAAGAAUUGAGAAGGCUUGAGAAAGAGGAGAGAGCUAGAGAAAAGAUGUUUCACAACGAUAUGAUGGUAGGACCCUUCUCGCAAUCAAUUGCAGUUGGCAAACUAUGGCAGGAGCUUCCGGGUGUUCACUCAGAUGCUUGUUUGAUGUUUUCAUGGUACACCGUAGAGGAACAAGAUACCAUGUGCAAUUAUUAUCUAAGGUAAGAGAAGAAGAUGAUGCAAAGGCGAUAAAACUUGUGUGCCAUUAUAUGGAAAAAAGACACGAGGUGGUGUAAGGGAAACUUUGGGUUGGCCUAAUCAUCAAAUGGAUGAUGUGAGUUACCUCUGUAGUUAGAUAAUGGUGUCUUGGAUGCCAACAGUGUCGUACUUUAUCUGAAAAACAAAAAAUCGAUAAAGAUGAGGUUUCUGUUGAGUUAUUGAAGAUGAUGAUGAGCUUGACGACAAGAGCUCGAAAAUUGUAGAGAGCAGUGAUGACAUGCACAUGGACAACAAGCUAGCUUUGCUUAUCAAGGACAGUUGGCAUAGUUCAGUAGAAUGUGAACAACUUCUAAGUUGCAAUACCUGUAAGAUGUUGUUUUGUACAAAAUGCUUGCCCUAUGUACGAUGUAUAUUUUGACCCCGAGUGUGAUGUAUGUGUUCAUUGAUAAUCUGAUGUGUAAGAGGAAUUUUGGUUGCAAUUUAUAAAUUUGAAUUAUGACUUCGAAUUUAAUUAUUUGAAUUA
This is a long non-coding RNA of Triticum urartu, 2591 nucleotides long. RefSeq lists it as uncharacterized. Lineage: Eukaryota; Viridiplantae; Streptophyta; Magnoliopsida; Poales; Poaceae. The record is from RefSeq and is a predicted model, not a curated record.